RNAcentral lists this ribosomal RNA (503 nucleotides) under uncultured Pseudomonas sp. Its description in RNAcentral is "bacterial SSU rRNA". It matches the Rfam family "Bacterial small subunit ribosomal RNA", at positions 903 to 1382 of the family's 1533-position model. Lineage: Bacteria; Pseudomonadati; Pseudomonadota; Gammaproteobacteria; Pseudomonadales; Pseudomonadaceae. The record is from RNAcentral.
ACGCCCGCUCAGAAACGUUAAAGGAAUUGACGGGGGCCCGCACAAGCGGUGGAGCACGUGGUUUAAUUCGAUGCAAACCGAAGAACCUUACCAGGCCUUGACAUGCAGAGAACUUUCCAGAGAUGGAUUGGUGCCGUUCGGGAACUCUGACACAGGUGCUGCAGUGGCUGUCGUCAGCUCGUGUCGUGAGAUGGUUGGGUUAACGUCCCGUAACGAGCGCAACCCUUGUCCUUAGUUACCAGCACGUUAUGGUGGGCACUCUAAGGAGACUGCCGGUGACAAACCGGAGGAAGGUGGGGAUGACGUCAAGUCAUCAUGGCCCUUACGGCCUGGGCUACACACGUGCUACAAUGGUCGGUACAAAGGGUUGCCAAGCCGCGAGGUGGAGCUAAUCCCAUAAAACCGAUCGUAGUCCGGAUCGCAGUCUGCAACUCGACUGCGUGAAGUCGGAAUCGCUAGUAAUCGUGAAUCAGAAUGUCACGGUGAAUACGUUCCCGGGCCUU